Molecule: long non-coding RNA, 768 nt
Organism: Myripristis murdjan (pinecone soldierfish)
Lineage: Eukaryota; Metazoa; Chordata; Actinopteri; Holocentriformes; Holocentridae
Exons: 2
Source: RefSeq, a predicted model, not a curated record
CAGGGUCAGAAUUAUGGCAUGUUUUAUUGCAUGUUGUGUUAUUUUACCUGAGUGCUGUGUUUUUAUUAUGCAUGUAGUGUGUGUGUUUUACUUCGUUUGCUGUGGUUUUAUCAUAUUUUAAUUAUUGGGUUGUUUUGAGUGUAUUUAUUUAUUAAGUAUGCAUGCUGCUUUUACUUUGAAUGACCCCUGCGAAGCCCCACCCCCAAUCACUAACUAAUCAGCAAACAAGCGACAGGUGUGGGACGCUGAAAACAAAGGCACAGACGCUGCCUUUAUUGACGGAGCGAGCGACGACGGAGCAACGAGCGAGGAACAGCGGAGGGUCGACAGAGCGGUUCGGCCGAGAGAGGGAACACGCAGCGGUUCGGCGAAGACAGUCCACCACCUGACAGAGCGGUCCCCCAACGUGAGGACGACGGAAUAGUGCCGGGAAAGGCGUGCGGUUGCCCAAAGUCCGCCACCGCUAAUUUACUCAGGCCUGGGCCGGCAGUCCACUAGCUGUCGCCCGGGACAACCGGACGAACGAGUGAGGGGGACCCGGCAGCUGGUGCGGGGAGGCUACGAGCUACGUGGAGGAGCCGCAGGGAUACGCGUGGACUGAACUGGCCGGACUGAGCUUUUUACCGCUGGGAAGCAGCAUUUUUAUCCUUUUAUUUGCAUUUAUUUUUAUUAUUUUAUUGUUUUUAGUAUUUAUUCUCCUGUGUAAAUUAUUUUUGGUGGUACCACCCUUGACUUUCUUGUAUUGUAAUAAAUCUAGUUUUAAUUGGA